This 377-nucleotide unclassified non-coding RNA is filed under the name plant metagenome. RNAcentral describes it as "partial contains 5.8S ribosomal RNA, internal transcribed spacer 2, and large subunit ribosomal RNA". The stretch from base 1 to 104 matches the Rfam family "5.8S ribosomal RNA", at positions 51 to 154 of the family's 154-position model. The record is from RNAcentral.
AAAUGCGAUAAGUAAUGUGAAUUGCAGAAUUCAGUGAAUCAUCGAAUCUUUGAACGCACCUUGCGCUCCUUGGUAUUCCUUGGAGCAUGCCUGUUUGAGUAUCAUGAAAUCUUCAAAGUAAAUCUUUUGUUAGCUCAAUUGGUUUCUACUUUGGUAUUGGAGGUCUUUGCAGCUUCACACCUGCUCCUCUUUGUUCAUUAGCUGGAUCUCAGUGUUAUGCUUGGUUCCACUCGGCGUGAUAAGUUAUCUAUCGCUGAGGACACUGUAAAAGGUGGCCAAGGUAAAUGCAGAUGAACCGCUUCUAAUAGUCCAUUGACUUGGACAAUACUUUUAUGAUCUGAUCUCAAAUCAGGUAGGACUACCCGCUGAACUUAAGC